GACGAACGCUGGCGGCGUGCUUAACACAUGCAAGUCGAACGGAAAGGCCCUGCUUUUGUGGGGUGCUCGAGUGGCGAACGGGUGAGUAACACGUGAGUAACCUGCCCUUGACUUUGGGAUAACUUCAGGAAACUGGGGCUAAUACCGGAUAGGAGCUCCUGCUGCAUGGUGGGGGUUGGAAAGUUUCGGCGGUUGGGGAUGGACUCGCGGCUUAUCAGCUUGUUGGUGGGGUAGUGGCUUACCAAGGCUUUGACGGGUAGCCGGCCUGAGAGGGUGACCGGCCACAUUGGGACUGAGAUACGGCCCAGACUCCUACGGGAGGCAGCAGUGGGGAAUAUUGCACAAUGGGCGGAAGCCUGAUGCAGCAACGCCGCGUGCGGGAUGACGGCCUUCGGGUUGUAAACCGCUUUCGCCUGUGACGAAGCGUGAGUGACGGUAAUGGGUUAAGAAGCACCGGCUAACUACGUG
Molecule: ribosomal RNA, 468 nt
Filed under: uncultured bacterium
Lineage: Bacteria
Description: partial 16S ribosomal RNA
Rfam family: Bacterial small subunit ribosomal RNA
Source: RNAcentral